Molecule: small RNA, 125 nt
Filed under: Marmota monax (woodchuck)
Lineage: Eukaryota; Metazoa; Chordata; Mammalia; Rodentia; Sciuridae
Source: RNAcentral
GUUGGGCAUGGUGGCUCACGCCUGUAAUCCCAGCAGCUCAGGAGGCUGAGGCAGGAGGACUGUGGGUUCAAAGCCAGCUUCACCAAAAGUAAGGUGCUAAGCAACUCAGUGAGACCCUGUCUCUA